RNAcentral lists this ribosomal RNA (164 nucleotides) under Kageneckia lanceolata. RNAcentral's name for it is "5.8S ribosomal RNA". It matches the Rfam family "5.8S ribosomal RNA". Rfam says of the family: 5.8S ribosomal RNA (5.8S rRNA) is a component of the large subunit of the eukaryotic ribosome. Lineage: Eukaryota; Viridiplantae; Streptophyta; Magnoliopsida; Rosales; Rosaceae. The record is from RNAcentral.
CGGCAACGGAUAUCUCGGCUCUCGCAUCGAUGAAGAACGUAGCGAAAUGCGAUACUUGGUGUGAAUUGCAGAAUCCCGUGAACCAUCGAGUCUUUGAACGCAAGUUGCGCCCGAAGCCAUCAGGCCGAGGGCACGCCUGCCUGGGCGUCACACGCUGUUGCCCC